CAAAAUAUGUAGAAUUAGUAUUUUUCUUAAAUAAAUUUCUCCCUCGAAAAAAAGAAACAAUUAAUUUUAAAUUAAAAUCGUAGAAAUAAAAAUUAUUAUUGAAUAUUUUCUCAAAUUCAAUUCAUAGUUAAAAAAAGAUGGUUUGGAAUAAUCAUUAUAAAAAGUUUUCAUCAACACGCCAACAUUUUAUGUAUACAAAUGGCUGAAAUAUAAUUUAAAAAUCCAAGUACAGUUAACAUAUUGCCCAGUGAUGACCCGACAUAAAGGAGAUCAUUUGUGGUUGAAAUCUUAGAUGAUAAUAUAAAAUGAAACAGUAAUAUUUAACUACUGCACACCACAAAAGAAUUUUAAUUAAAAAUCUAACAUUAAUAAAAUAACAUCUUCUGUUUAAAUAGUUUUAAAUCAGUACUUCAAAGGUAUUUUUAGCCACUACAAUGUUUCUGUAAUUAUUUU
This is a long non-coding RNA of Daktulosphaira vitifoliae (grape phylloxera), 453 nucleotides long. RefSeq lists it as uncharacterized. The transcript has 3 exons. The record is from RefSeq and is a predicted model, not a curated record. Lineage: Eukaryota; Metazoa; Arthropoda; Insecta; Hemiptera; Phylloxeridae.